This 406-nucleotide ribosomal RNA is filed under the name uncultured bacterium. RNAcentral describes it as "partial 16S ribosomal RNA". It matches the Rfam family "Bacterial small subunit ribosomal RNA", at positions 30 to 526 of the family's 1533-position model. The record is from RNAcentral.
AUUGAACGCUGGCGGCAGGCUUAACACAUGCAAGUCGAGCGAGCGGCGGACGGGUGAGUAAUGUCUGGGAAACUGCCUGAUGGAGGGGGAUAACUACUGGAAAAGGUCGCUAAUACCGCAUACCCUCAGAUGUGCCCAGAUGGGAGUAGCUAGUAGGUGGGGUAAUGGCUCACCUAGGCGACGAUCCCUAGCUGGUCUGAGAGGAUGACCAGCCACACUGGAACUGAGACACGGUCCGGACUCCUACGGGAGGCAGCGUUGGGGAAUAUUGCACAAUGGGCGCAAGCCUGAUGCAGCCAUGCCGCGUGUGUGAAGAAGGCCUUCGGGUUGUAAAGCACUUUUAGCAGGGAGGCGUUACUCGCAGAAGAAGCACCGGCUAACUCCGUGCCAGCAGCCGCGGUAAUUC